This 240-nucleotide unclassified non-coding RNA is filed under the name Paraglomus sp. RNAcentral's name for it is "partial contains 5.8S ribosomal RNA and internal transcribed spacer 2". The record is from RNAcentral. Lineage: Eukaryota; Fungi; Glomeromycota; Glomeromycetes; Paraglomerales; Paraglomeraceae.
GUGAAUCAUCAAAUUUUUGAACGCAAAUUGCGCCUUUUUCGGAAGGCAGGUCUGUUUGUGGGCACCAUUUAACAAAUAAUGUGCAUUUCGUGUGCACACGUUGAUGAGCUUUCCAAAAUUAUGUCUUUUUAUUUUUGGUGGCGCAUAAUUAAACAGCGCGAUGCUUUUUUUCAGUUCUUGUGUAGUAAAAUUUUUUCUUUCUUGUGUUGUGAAAAGCGUGCUCGAGCAAAUGUGUGUGGC